Molecule: ribosomal RNA, 552 nt
Filed under: Ampulloclitocybe clavipes
Lineage: Eukaryota; Fungi; Basidiomycota; Agaricomycetes; Agaricales; Hygrophoraceae
Description: eukaryotic LSU rRNA
Rfam family: Eukaryotic large subunit ribosomal RNA
Source: RNAcentral
GUGACCUCAAAUCAGGUAGGACUACCCGCUGAACUUAAGCAUAUCAAUAAGCGGAGGAAAAGAAACUAACAAGGAUUCCCCUAGUAACUGCGAGUGAACCGGGAAAAGCUCAAAUUUGUAAUCUGGCGGUCCUUGUGGCCGUCCGAGUUGUAAUCUAGAGAAGUGCUAUCCGCGCUGGACCGUGUACAAGUCUUCUGGAAUGAAGCAUCAUAGAGGGUGAGAAUCCCGUCUUUGACACGGACUGCCAGGGCUAUGUGAUGCACUUUCGAUGAGUCGAGUUGUUUGGGAAUGCAGCUCUAAAUGGGUGGUAAAUUCCAUCUAAAGCUAAAUACAGGCGAGAGACCGAUAGCGAACAAGUACCGUGAGGGAAAGAUGAAAAGAACUUUGGAAAGAGAGUUAAACAGUACGUGAAAUUGUUGAAAGGGAAACGCUUGAAGUCAGUCGCGUUGGCCGGGGAUCAACCUUGCAUUCAUUUGUGGGGCGUACUUUCUGGUUGACGGGUCAGCAUCAAUUUUGACCGUUGGAAAAAGGUUGGAGGAAUGUGGCAUCUUC